Bacillus rossius redtenbacheri is the source of this 2594-nucleotide long non-coding RNA. RefSeq lists it as uncharacterized. The record is from RefSeq and is a predicted model, not a curated record. The transcript has 4 exons. NCBI's taxonomy places the organism in Eukaryota, Metazoa, Arthropoda, Insecta, Phasmatodea, Bacillidae.
UUCGUGAGCAUUUUUUGUGAGAGCAAUGACAAGUAAAGGAUAGCCAAGGAGUGAUGUACAGGAAUAUGAAGCGAGGCCAAUGUUGUGGUAUUUUCGUGAUACGCAAUAUAAGGACAAUUGCAAGAAGUAUGAUUUUUUGAUAUAAAUAAUCAGAGAAAAAUGACACAACAAAGGAGAAAAAAAAUAUUUAAGACAACAUACAAUCUGUGAAAACAGUUCAAAGUGGCACAGCGUUCAGCUAAGACUAAGCAUAGUAAGAAAACUCAAGACAUUGGUACUCAAUAUGAAGAACCGAUUUGUACCCACACUAACGAUGUAACACCUACACCCAGAGCAAAAAAUUAUGUACCGUCUUGCCAGCCAAAAGAUAGUGAUGUGAAUGUAUAUAGAGUGACGAGAAGUUCAGCUAAGACUCAUGGUAAGAAAAUGGAAGACAUCGGUAUACAAUAUGAAGAACCGAUUCGUACGUCCAUUAACGAUGAUACACCUACAACCUUAGCUAGAAAUGAUUUACCGUCUUGCCAGCGAAAGGACAGUGAUGUGAAUGUAUGUAGAGGCGUGUGGGACGCCUGGAGAGCCCACUGCUACUUGGUAUGACAUGAGCGUGCCAGGUCUGCGCGCUCUACGGGAGGUAACCGAGGGUCCAGUCUUGCCUCACUGUGACGGAUCUCAGCCGGGUCCUAGUGGCCUUCCACGUGGUGGCGUCCGUUACCGAUCAGCACCGCAGCGACCCUCACGAAACCCUGGGACUAAUACAGUGAAAUAACACUCCUUCAUCUAACAAUCUUUUAGAUCCAUGUUUUAUCAAUUUAACUCAAUGUAUAGUAAGUAAAGCAGUUGAAAAGUUUGUCAAAGGCUGCCCUAAAUAUCAUAAUCAUUAUGGUUAUUUAUACCUCCAAUGACAAACUAUCUUUUUUUAGAAACUAUAAAAAUUGUUAUUAUAUUGGUUUAUUCAAUUCUAUAAAAAUCAUGGUAGGUCAAAUAUUUAUAAAUCCUUCGAUGUAAAUGACCUUUUUAAGCAAUUAACAACGUUUUAUGUAAAAUAUUUUACUCAUUCAUCCCUAAAAUUCAAAUAUUCUCAUUGGUUUUCAAUAGAAUUAAUCCAUGCCUUGAAAUCUUAAAAAAAAAAAAAAAAAAAAAAAAAAGCAACUUGUAUUUUUUUACUUUUUUCACAUUACCAGAAACAAGUUAAAAUUCUCAAUAAGUGUGAAAAAAUUCACUAGACCCAAACGAUAAACAUAAAGAAUAAUCCUAAAAUUUUUGGAGUAAUGUCAAAAAAUUGAAAGAUGCCUUUUAUGAAAAACAAUCUCUCAAAGUGAAUGGUGUUGUAUCUCGUGAUCGUAUUAUGUUAGCCAAUGUUUUGCCAACGUGUAAGAGAAGUAAUACCCAAUAUUAGUUGGCCAUCACUUGUUAGGAAACCUGACGAACAAGGAGAACUAUCAGUUUAACAUAAGUGUUGGUAUCUUAUUUUUAAACCUUUGUAUUUAUUUGUACAGUAUUAUAAAAAUAAUUAUUUGUUUAUGAUAACCUUGGUUAAAAUAACUUAUAAAGAAUCUAAUUUAUACCACAAAUUAAAAAAAAAAAUUGUUUGUAUUUUUGCUACCGAGUAUAAAUGUAUGGGUUAUUUAGUACUUUUAAGUGCGUGUUUGUCAGCUUUAAUGUAAAAAUAGUUUAAAUAAAUGUAUAGUGUCAACCAGUUGAGGUCCCCGGCCUUAUGCGCUGGCACUCAAAAUCCACAGUAAAUAAAAUGAAAAGUCAAUAAUAUUGAAACUAAUAUAAAGUAGUAAAAGAUCAUUACAGUUUAAAAUUAUAAAAAAAUUUCAUUUAAAUUACACAUGCCAAAUAAAAACCCUAUAAUUGAUUGAAUACAAACACAAUCUUUGAAAUUGAUUAAAUGUUUACAUGGAUCCUGAAAUUGAUUUGAUUGUUUUCUUGAAACAACAGACCAAAAAUUGCUCUGUUUAUAGCUAAAAAUAUAACCUGUUUUGUCCUGCACAUUAACGUUACAUUAUUGAACAAAAACUUCACUUCAUUAUUGGGCAAAAUGUAAAACAACUUCUUAAUCAAUGAAGAGAAGUAUGCUUCUAAAAAAAUGCCAAAAGUGUUUCCAAUUAGAAUAAUAUGAUUUGAAAUUUAAUAAUUAUAGUAUCUAUGUACAUUGUAUAAUAACAAUACUUAACUCUACAUACAUUCACAUCACUAUCCUUUGGCUGGCAAGACGGUACAUAAUUUUUUGCUCUGGGUGUAGGUGUUACAUCAUUAGUGUAGGUACAAAUCGGUUCUUCAUAUUGAGUACCAAUGUCUUGAGUUUUCUUACUAUGCUUAGUCUUAGCUGAACGUUGUCUCACUGGACUCACAAAACAAAAUUUAUUUGUAAAUAUUUUAAGCUCAUAAACAGUAACAAGUUGUAUUUCUGACAGAAAAAGGCAAAUUUUCCUCGACAGUUAUAUCUGGCUGUAUGUGCUCUAGCUAUAUGGUGGCCUAUUUUUGUCAUGUACUCUUUUGUAAUCUGUAUUCUGGUGUAUUCUCAUAUUGGUAAUUCUUAUUCAGAGAUAACAUUGUAGUUAAAUAAUAAAUUAUUUAUGUUGUUUUAA